RNAcentral lists this ribosomal RNA (781 nucleotides) under Lacticaseibacillus paracasei subsp. tolerans. Its description in RNAcentral is "bacterial SSU rRNA". It matches the Rfam family "Bacterial small subunit ribosomal RNA", at positions 95 to 861 of the family's 1533-position model. The record is from RNAcentral. Lineage: Bacteria; Bacillati; Bacillota; Bacilli; Lactobacillales; Lactobacillaceae.
GUGGCGGACGGGUGAGUAACACGUGGGUAACCUGCCCUUAAGUGGGGGAUAACAUUUGGAAACAGAUGCUAAUACCGCAUAGAUCCAAGAACCGCAUGGUUCUUGGCUGAAAGAUGGCGUAAGCUAUCGCUUUUGGAUGGACCCGCGGCGUAUUAGCUAGUUGGUGAGGUAAUGGCUCACCAAGGCGAUGAUACGUAGCCGAACUGAGAGGUUGAUCGGCCACAUUGGGACUGAGACACGGCCCAAACUCCUACGGGAGGCAGCAGUAGGGAAUCUUCCACAAUGGACGCAAGUCUGAUGGAGCAACGCCGCGUGAGUGAAGAAGGCUUUCGGGUCGUAAAACUCUGUUGUUGGAGAAGAAUGGUCGGCAGAGUAACUGUUGUCGGCGUGACGGUAUCCAACCAGAAAGCCACGGCUAACUACGUGCCAGCAGCCGCGGUAAUACGUAGGUGGCAAGCGUUAUCCGGAUUUAUUGGGCGUAAAGCGAGCGCAGGCGGUUUUUUAAGUCUGAUGUGAAAGCCCUCGGCUUAACCGAGGAAGCGCAUCGGAAACUGGGAAACUUGAGUGCAGAAGAGGACAGUGGAACUCCAUGUGUAGCGGUGAAAUGCGUAGAUAUAUGGAAGAACACCAGUGGCGAAGGCGGCUGUCUGGUCUGUAACUGACGCUGAGGCUCGAAAGCAUGGGUAGCGAACAGGAUUAGAUACCCUGGUAGUCCAUGCCGUAAACGAUGAAUGCUAGGUGUUGGAGGGUUUCCGCCCUUCAGUGCCGCAGCUAACGCAUU